UACGUAGGGUGCGAGCGUUGUCCGGAAUUACUGGGCGUAAAGAGCUCGUAGGUGGUUUGUCGCGUUGUCCGUGAAAACUCACAACUCAAUUGUGGGCGUGCGGGCGAUACGGGCAGACUGGAGUACUGCAGGGGGAGACUGGAAUUCCUGGUGUAGCGGUGGAAUGCGCAGAUAUCAGGAGGAACACCGGUGGCGAAGGCGGGUCUCUGGGCAGUAACUGACGCUGAGGAGCGAAAGCGUGGGGGAGCGAACAGG
Molecule: ribosomal RNA, 255 nt
Filed under: uncultured bacterium
Lineage: Bacteria
Description: partial 16S ribosomal RNA
Rfam family: Bacterial small subunit ribosomal RNA
Source: RNAcentral